Molecule: transfer RNA, 63 nt
Filed under: Urocitellus parryii (Arctic ground squirrel)
Lineage: Eukaryota; Metazoa; Chordata; Mammalia; Rodentia; Sciuridae
Also listed under: 2 other names
Description: Spermophilus parryii (Arctic ground squirrel) tRNA
Rfam family: tRNA
About the family: Transfer RNA (tRNA) molecules are approximately 80 nucleotides in length. Their secondary structure includes four short double-helical elements and three loops (D, anti-codon, and T loops).
Source: Rfam by way of RNAcentral
GUGUAGCUCAGGGGUAGAGUGUGUGCUUAGAAUGCUCAAGGCCCUGGGUUUGCUUCCCAGCAC